Triticum aestivum (bread wheat) is the source of this 124-nucleotide non-coding RNA. The record is from Rfam. NCBI's taxonomy places the organism in Eukaryota, Viridiplantae, Streptophyta, Magnoliopsida, Poales, Poaceae.
AUUGUACUCCCUCCGUCCGGAAAUACUUGUCCUAAAAAUGGAUAAAAUGGAUGUAUCUAUAACUAAAAUAAGUCUAGAUACAACAAUUUCGAGGACAAUUAUUUCCGGACGGAGGGAGUAUUAA